GAGGGGCAGUCAAGAUUUGUAGCGCUGCCGCUUGAGGUUACUAAGGCGAUGGGGAAAGAAAGAGAGGCGGCGGCGGCGGCGGCCCUGGCGCUGUGCUUGGGAGUGGCUUACUGGGGAUGGAUCCUGUUGACAUUAUCUCCGGGGAAACGCCCUGGAGAGCGGGCGGCUUCUUGGUAGAAAAUAUUGUAACAGGCCCUGGGCUAUCAGAAAUUAAGGAGAUCCAACAAGCAGAGUACGUUUAACAGAAUGUAUGGGCAGAAGAAAGAAGCAGAUGUGAAGUAAUAUCAGUGGUCAUCACAAAAGAACAACAUAAACAGACAGUGACAGUAACCCACAUGGCAAUUUCCCCCACCUCUGGAGAUGCCCUUUCCACUGUCCCACCAAACUCCCUUGCAGCUUCAGUCAGACCUGACACUUAAGUGCUCGUCCCUUCUGCUCUGGUACAUUACAGGACCAUCUAGAAUAGAUCAGCCUCUCUCUUUCAAGUCUUGGCUUCUCAGCUUCUGUAGCCUUCUUCCACAUAGGUGCUGCUGCUUGCUGCUUCAGACUGCUCUCCCUCACCAACAGCUCCAGCAACUGUUCAAUUGCUUCACCUGGUUACCUUGGUAACCUGGCAGGUAACCUCCUGCCUUCUCCUAGGCAUUGCAUCUUAGGUUACAAUAUUAUCCUUUGCUGCUACAUCUAUCCAGUGUGUGAUCCCCUCAGAAGGGAUUCCAUUCCACUAAUAACCAUCAGCAAUAUUAACAUAUUUGCCCACAUACUUUUAACACAGCCUGUGUAGAGUUCAGCUUCAAUGAGCCUUUAUAGAACACUUUAUAGAAUGUGGUUUGUUCUUUUUCAAUGGAUGCAUUUUUAAUAAAAGUAUCCCAUGUUGAGACACA
This is a long non-coding RNA of Hemicordylus capensis (graceful crag lizard), 881 nucleotides long. RefSeq lists it as uncharacterized. The record is from RefSeq and is a predicted model, not a curated record. The transcript has 2 exons. Lineage: Eukaryota; Metazoa; Chordata; Lepidosauria; Squamata; Cordylidae.